UGGCGACCAGAACCACCCAAGUCUCAUUAGAAACCGCCAAGAAACCGCCAUACAAUCGCCACAAGUAACAUAGUGUUUCUUACAUACCAUGAGUAAAUUUUAUAUAAUUUUAUAAUUUUAUAGUUGAAAUGCUUUGAAUCAGUUGUAAAUUUUGUAAUUGUACCAAAUAAUUUUAAUAAAGCUGAAAGAAAAACUUUCUAAUCUUUCAAAUUUUCAAAAGACAUGUAUAGAACAUUACACAAAGUAUAACCGUAAAUUUAAAAUAUCACAAAUAUAAUAAUUUCAAGUUAUUUAGAAAAAUAAAAAAUAUCCAAAAGUACCACAAAGACAUGUUAUAUACAAUCUCAAAAGUCAAUCAUCGGAUAGAUAAGUUUUUGCGUGAAAAAUGAAAUUCAUAAAAUUUAUGCAAGAGAAAAGUAAAUCAAACAACCAAUUUGCAC
Molecule: long non-coding RNA, 440 nt
Filed under: Brassica napus (rape)
Lineage: Eukaryota; Viridiplantae; Streptophyta; Magnoliopsida; Brassicales; Brassicaceae
Description: long non-coding RNA (BNAP_LNC013062)
Source: RNAcentral